RNAcentral lists this long non-coding RNA (213 nucleotides) under Elaeis guineensis (African oil palm). RNAcentral describes it as "long non-coding RNA (EGUI_LNC069447)". Lineage: Eukaryota; Viridiplantae; Streptophyta; Magnoliopsida; Arecales; Arecaceae. The record is from RNAcentral.
AAUGUGACACACUCGGUAGCUACAUAUACUUCUGCUAUAGACCCUUUAGGCCUUGCUUUAUUGCGCAAAUACUUUUUUAAGAUUCACAAAAAUCUACAAACAAAAAUAAAUUUAAAUUUUAGAAAUGCAUUUACAUCUUAUAAUUGAUAUGACAAAGUACGUAUAAUUUCUUUACCUUUCUAUAGGAUAUAUCCAUCAAUAAUGUAUCGGUCU